Molecule: long non-coding RNA, 1136 nt
Filed under: Medicago truncatula (barrel medic)
Lineage: Eukaryota; Viridiplantae; Streptophyta; Magnoliopsida; Fabales; Fabaceae
Description: long non-coding RNA (MTRU_LNC006712)
Source: RNAcentral
UAAAAUUUGAGUGAUGAUUUAAUUUAGUAAAAUAUUAAAAAAAAUUACAGAUGAGAAAAGUAAUUGAAAAAAAUUACAUCAAACUUUACUUCUAUGGUCUCUACAUGAGCCUCAAUUAUAAGAUGCACCAUUAGUGUUAUACCAUAAUUGAAAAGGAGACAAUAUGAGUUCAGACAAUUAUUAAAAAUAAAAAGCAAUAAUUUUAUCAUGACAAAAAACUAUUUUGUUUGUAUACUAAGAGAUUAAUUCCUUUAUUUAUGAAAACAAAUAGUAAAACAGUAACAGUAGGGUAAUCUUGUAUAUAAAUGAAGUUUGGAGUCCUUAUUUUUUAGACCACUUUGAAGUUUGUUUGAACCUCUUUCACCUCCUUGAUUAAUGGCUUCCCAGUCUCAAUCUCAAUCUCAAUCUCAAUCUCAAUCUCAAUCUCAAUCUCAACCUCAAAUCAAGCUCAUCGUUUCAACAUCAUCAUCACCCAAAAGUGACAGUGGAAUCGGUGGUGAUGCAGCGGCGUCGUUUCCCAAAGGACGGUGUCUAUGUUCACCAACGACACACGAAGGCUCUUUCAGGUGUCGUUUUCAUCGUUCAGGGUCAUUUUCGUCAUCUGCACCUCCACCUUGGAUGAAAAGGACCAAAUCAAUGCCUCCUAAUCAUAAUAAGUCUGUUGUUUCUGUUUCUCCACAGUGAGUCAUAUAUGUUUUCCUGUGUACCUUGUAAGUACGAUGAUGCUCUGUUUCUCAUCAUGUCUAUGCUUAUAUGUUGUUAAUCGAUCAUUAACUACUUUAAGCUUAUGUAAAGGUUAUGAAUUACAUGUAUAUUAUAAUUACGUAUAUUUUUCUUCUUCCUUCGAUAUACUCCGCACUACUACUAAAUUGGAUAUUAUAUAUAAUUAUGUUUUGAAUUGAUUUUCGCAACAGUUCUGUUAUCUACUAUCAACAUGAUGAUACCUAAAGCAUAAUAACUUCGAUCCAUUUGUAGAAUUAUAUACUUUUUUCUUUAAGGACGGUAGAAUUAUAUAGUUCUUCAGAUAAUAAUGUUAUAAUGUGUGAUUUAAUAUUAAUAAGAAAGUGAAAGAAAGAUUAAUCCAUAUAUUAACAAUCAUUUAUUUGUGAUAUACAAGUUACAAAGUUGUUUGUCGC